Non-coding RNA from Nicotiana tabacum (common tobacco), 1141 nucleotides. NCBI's taxonomy places the organism in Eukaryota, Viridiplantae, Streptophyta, Magnoliopsida, Solanales, Solanaceae. The record is from RefSeq and is a predicted model, not a curated record.
CAAAAAUAUAUAUAAUCGUUUAUCCACACAAAUUGGUUUUAAUUAAAAUUUGAAUCCAAAGUGACUCUAUCUCUAUUCUUUAUUACUAUUAGAAUAGAGACAUAUAUACUCUAUCUCUAUUCUUUAUUACUAAUUUACUAUUAAACAUUUAGAAACCCUAACACCUAAAUUUCAACCAACAGCCACCAACACUCUAUCUCGUCGACUUUCAUUACUCUAUCUAACGCCAAAAAUAUAUAUAAUCGUUUAUCCACACAAAUUGAUUUUAAUUAAAAUUUGAAUCCAAAGUGACUAAUUUUGUAAUUGUUUCAAGUCUAUCCCUUUAGAAGCCCAAUUUUCAUGACCCGCCUGGCCCAACCGGAUCUCCCCUCUCUUUAAAACAUCCAUUUUUCCAAACCCUAAGAAAAAGACAGACAGAUCCCCCUUUGAAAAUCCUAGCCGCCUGGUCUCUUUCCUCACUCGCCCAUUCCCUUUUACGCAAAAAGAAGCCGAGAAUUCGCCAUCAUGCACACACAUCUCACCUAUGAAAAAAGUUAAAACAAAAUCCCUGAAUUCCCAUUUUUCUACAUCCGGAUCUGAAGAAGAAAAACGAAAAAAAAAGAUUAAAAAGGUUUUCUGAUUUUUGUUGUGUUACUUGGAGAAUUUAUGGGUUUCUCAUUUGUUUUUGGAUUGAAGUUGAGGUCGACAUUGUUGUUCUUCUGCGGUUUGCUAUCAAAAUCGUAGCUGAACUUCCUUUAUCUCCAUUUCUGCCCUUUAUCAACUGUUUCAAGCUCUAUUUGUCAAGUAUUUUAGGGAUCUACUCACUUAUGGAUUAAGCUGUUGUUUGAAUUUUGAAGCUGCAAAAAUUCAAGCAUUGUUAGGCGUUAGCUGCAGGACAAACAUUUCUGUGUAGUCUGCUCACUUAUGGAUUAAUCAUUUUGAAUUGUGGGCAGAGGAAAGACAUAUGUGUUCUGGACUCAUCUGUAAUGUAGUUUGCUUUGGGAUGUAAUGGACUCAUCUAUUGUAUUCUAUAGACUGGAAUGUAGUCUGAUGAGCAUAGGAAUUUUAGUUUGAGUCACAAUGGUCAGCAAACAAUUAAUGCACGGAAUAUAGAUUGAAUUAGGCCGAUAAACUGCCCGAUAAGAGCUAAACCGAUACCAAU